GGAUGACAGUACGAAGGGAGGGCUGACACAGUUACACUCCCACCCUACAACUCUGGAGUAAGUGCCAACACAUCAGCCACGUAGGAUGACUAGUGAUCCUUAUUACAGUUGAGGCCUAAGUUAGACCCUGUCCAUCAGACCAUUUCACAUUCCUCAUUGCAAUCAAAUCACUGAUACUUCCCACAUCUCAUUACACAUUAGCCUAGGCAGGCAGCAACAAAACUUAUAUUUUGGAAAAAAGAAACACAUUUGUAGUUUCUUGUGCACUGAUAUUCAUUAUAAGGUAGGGGGCUGCAUUACCCCUCCUCUUACCAUCUGGACCCUGUCUCCUCCCAUUUAAAGUUUUGUAAAGGCUUUUACAGUUACUGUAAC
This is a non-coding RNA of Pelobates cultripes (western spadefoot toad), 372 nucleotides long. The record is from the annotation of a GenBank genome assembly. NCBI's taxonomy places the organism in Eukaryota, Metazoa, Chordata, Amphibia, Anura, Pelobatidae.